Molecule: signal recognition particle RNA, 117 nt
Filed under: Pan paniscus (pygmy chimpanzee)
Lineage: Eukaryota; Metazoa; Chordata; Mammalia; Primates; Hominidae
Also listed under: 1 other name
Description: Metazoan signal recognition particle RNA
Rfam family: Metazoan signal recognition particle RNA
About the family: The signal recognition particle (SRP) is a universally conserved ribonucleoprotein.
Source: Rfam by way of RNAcentral
GCCGGGCGCGGUGGCUCACGCCUGUAAUCCCAGCAACUUGGGAGGCUGAGGCAGGCUGAUCAUCUGAGGUCAGGAGUUCUAGACCAGCCUGACCAACAUGGUGAAACCCCGUCUCUA